RNAcentral lists this ribosomal RNA (253 nucleotides) under uncultured bacterium. RNAcentral describes it as "partial 16S ribosomal RNA". It matches the Rfam family "Bacterial small subunit ribosomal RNA", at positions 524 to 776 of the family's 1533-position model. The record is from RNAcentral.
UACGUAGGGGGCAAGCGUUGUCCGGAAUUAUUGGGCGUAAAGAGCGCGUAGGCGGUCCGAUAAGUCGACUGUGAAAGUCUAGGGCUCAACCCCGGAAAGCCGGUCGAUACUGUCGGACUAGAGUCCGGAAGAGGCAAGUGGAAUUCCCGGUGUAGCGGUGAAAUGCGCAGAUAUCGGGAGGAACACCAAUGGCGAAGGCAGCUUGCUGGGACGGUACUGACGCUGAGGCGCGAAAGCGUGGGGAGCAAACAGG